Molecule: long non-coding RNA, 428 nt
Organism: Lacerta agilis (Sand lizard)
Lineage: Eukaryota; Metazoa; Chordata; Lepidosauria; Squamata; Lacertidae
Exons: 3
Source: RefSeq, a predicted model, not a curated record
AGUUGUGAAUGGAGGUGUCCAGCUCUUCUCUUCCUCCUCCCCUUUCUCAGUUGCCCGGUCUCGUUCUCCAUCAGAGUCCAGCCCCCUCUGCCUCCUAGGCUGGCGGUGUCUCUCCCCUUCCAGACAGGAGGCACAGGUUUCUCUGGCGGUGGAAGGGACUCGUUCCGGAGUGGAGAUUCUGAAAAGCACAGGGCGGAAUAAUAGGCAGCAGGGGGAGAAGGUUUCUGGAGCCAAGAGGAAUUAAUUUGUGACGGCUAUGGCUGGGUUCUCAGCCCUCGGAUUACUUCUUCUUUCUCAGCUUUUGGCCUCCUCCUCAGCUCAGAGGCCAGGACCACGGGGCCCUCCUGGACCACGAGGACCCCCGGGAACAUCUGGCAAAGAUGGCAUAGAUGGAGAACCUGGUCCUCCCGGUUUGCCUGGUCCAUCAG